CGCGGCGGAGGCGGGCGAUGGCGAUCGAUGGUGACCUCCAGCGUCACCAUGGUUCCCUGGACCGCGUCGCGGAUCUUUGGCCGCGCGCGGCGG
RNAcentral lists this transfer RNA (93 nucleotides) under Bradyrhizobium japonicum. RNAcentral describes it as "tRNA-Trp". The record is from RNAcentral. Lineage: Bacteria; Pseudomonadati; Pseudomonadota; Alphaproteobacteria; Hyphomicrobiales; Nitrobacteraceae.